GCAUUUGGAUAGCUCAAUCAGUAGACCAUGAGACCCUUAAUCUCAGGGUCAUGGGUUCGAGCCUUACGUUGGGCA
Molecule: non-coding RNA, 75 nt
Organism: Podarcis lilfordi (Lilford's wall lizard)
Lineage: Eukaryota; Metazoa; Chordata; Lepidosauria; Squamata; Lacertidae
Source: the annotation of a GenBank genome assembly